UACAGCCAUACCACGUUGAAACACUGUUUCUCGUCCAGAUCACUGAAGAUAAGCAGCAACGUGCCUGGUCAGUACAUAGAAGAGUGACCACUUGUGAAUACCAG
Molecule: non-coding RNA, 104 nt
Organism: Acanthosepion pharaonis
Lineage: Eukaryota; Metazoa; Mollusca; Cephalopoda; Sepiida; Sepiidae
Source: the annotation of a GenBank genome assembly